UGGCUCAGGAUAACGCUAGCUACAGGCUUAACACAUGCAAGUCGAGGGGCAGCAUGGGGUUUGCUUGCAAAUCCUGAUGGCGACCGGCGCACGGGUGAGUAACGCGUAUCCAACCUUCCCGUCACUCGGGGACAGCCCAGCGAAAGCUGGAUUAACCCCCGAUGUUGUCAUAUGAUAGCAUUAGAGUGUGACGAAAGGCUAACGGUGACGGAUGGGGAUGCGUCUGAUUAGGUAGUAGGCGGGGUAACGGCCCACCUAGCCGACGAUCAGUAGGGGUUCUGAGAGGAAGGUCCCCCACAUUGGAACUGAGACACGGUCCAAACUCCUACGGGAGGCAGCAGUGAGGAAUAUUGGUCAAUGGGCGAGAGCCUGAACCAGCCAAGUAGCGUGCAGGAUGACGGCCCUACGGGUUGUAAACUGCUUUUAUGAAGGAAUAAAGUCACCCACGUGUGGGUGUUUGCAUGUACUUUAUGAAUAAGGACCGGCUAAUUCCGUGCCAGCAGCCGCGGUAAUACGGAAGGUCCGGGCGUUAUCCGGAUUUAUUGGGUUUAAAGGGAGCGUAGGCCGCCUGGUAAGCGUGUUGUGAAAUGUCGUUGCUCAACAACGUCACUGCAGCGCGAACUGCUGGGCUUGAGUGUGCGGAAAGCGGGCGGAAUUUGUGGUGUAGCGGUGAAAUGCUUAGAUAUCACGAAGAACUCCGAUUGCGAAGGCAGCUCGCUGUAGCAUUACUGACGCUGAAGCUCGAAGGUGCGGGUAUCGAACAGGAUUAGAUACCCUGGUAGUCCGCACGGUAAACGAUGGAUGCUCGCUGUUCGGCCCUCGGGCCGUGUGGCCAAGCGAAAGCGUUAAGCAUCCCACCUGGGGAGUACGCCGGCAACGGUGAAACUCAAAGGAAUUGACGGGGGCCCGCACAAGCGGAGGAACAUGUGGUUUAAUUCGAUGAUACGCGAGGAACCUUACCCGGGCUUGAACUGCAGCUGCAUGGAGUGGAGACACUCCUUCCCUUCGGGGCCGCUGUGGAGGUGCUGCAUGGUUGUCGUCAGCUCGUGCCGUGAGGUGUCGGCUUAAGUGCCAUAACGAGCGCAACCCCUGUCGUCAGUUGCCAUCAGGUAAUGCUGGGCACUCUGGUGAUACUGCCACCGCAAGGUGUGAGGAAGGUGGGGAUGACGUCAAAUCAGCACGGCCCUUACGUCCGGGGCUACACACGUGUUACAAUGGCGCAUACAGAAAGCAGGCAUUCCGCAAGGCGUGCCGAAUCAGGAAAAUGCGUCGUAGUUCGGAUUGGGGUCUGCAACCCGACCCCAUGAAGCUGGAUUCGCUAGUAAUCGCGCAUCAGCCAUGGCGCGGUGAAUACGUUCCCGGGCCUUGUACACACCGCCCGUCAAGCCAUGAAAGCCGGGGGCGCCUGAAGUCCGUGACCGCGAGGAUCGGCCUAGGGUGAAACUGGUGAUUG
Molecule: ribosomal RNA, 1453 nt
Filed under: uncultured bacterium
Lineage: Bacteria
Description: bacterial SSU rRNA
Rfam family: Bacterial small subunit ribosomal RNA
Source: RNAcentral